RNAcentral lists this long non-coding RNA (1210 nucleotides) under Anas platyrhynchos platyrhynchos (common mallard). RNAcentral's name for it is "lncRNA (ENSAPLG00000030548.1)". The record is from RNAcentral. Lineage: Eukaryota; Metazoa; Chordata; Aves; Anseriformes; Anatidae.
GACCAUCAGCAGCCUGGCAGGGUCACCAACAGCUGCCAAGCUUCCCUCCAGAGGAGCACUGAUUUUAAAACAAGUUUAAAACAAGCUGAGCUCGUGCCUCCAAGGAAAGGGGGCCUGCAGGAGAAGAUGGGAUGUUAAGUUCCACCUCCACGUCCUUGCCUUCUUGCAAGCCUUACUGCUGGAGGUUUAAACUGAGGUGAGGUAAAAGCCACGCACUGCUUACGGUGGGCACUCUUUGGGUUUAUUUAUUUGGGAUGUGCUGCAGCCGUCGCGUGGCGAAAUGCUGCUGUGGGUGACCCUGCAGCGAGGGCGUCGGUCUGGCUUCCUUUUGCUGGCUUGUUACCUUAUGAUGCAAAAAAGAAAAAAUAAGGAACCUGACAAAGACAGACGGCGGAGCUGGCCCAGCUCUAAAGCCAAGUCAUUAUCAGCCUCUAAAUACAUCUCGGAAAGCUUCCAUGCUGCUGUGCCCUCUGGUACCCACUGCUUUUCUGCCUUGCUUCAAAAAAAAGCCGAAUGCUUUGCAUCUCCCAGCAGUGGGAGCAGCCAGCACCAUGGCAACAGCUCCACGGUGACUGUGUCCAUAGGAACCCUGCAACCGCACGGCUUCCAGCACAAAAUGCAAGCUCCGUUUGCACGGCUUUGUGCAUUCGCUCCUGGAAAUAGCGUGGGGCCGGUUGGGAGAUGGAUGGCUCAAAGCAUGAUGCAGAUGUGGAAGGCCAGGGCAAUGCCCUUUGAUCCCGGGAGCAGGAGAGAGUUUUCUGACUUAAAAAAACAGAGGCUCCACUGAAAAAAUUCUUUGCCUUUUUGGGCUCGACGUCUGCUCCAACCCUUGAACUUGUCAUCAAAUCUACCAGCUCCAGCUCCUUUCUGCUGGAGAGCUGCAAGAAGCCGACUCAGCUCCGAGCUCCUUGCUGCACGGUGGGGUUUGUUGUACCCUCUGCUAAGAGCCAGCUCCUGCAGCCAGCACGUGCCACCAGCCCGCGGAGAAGAGCAGCCCGAGGUGGUCUCAGCCCAGCUUUCGAAUGCUACAAGAACCUCUGAGAGAUAAACAAUUAAAAUAUGCAUUAAGACAUGAAUAACAGCUUGCUCACAUUUGGUUUUCACUGGGAUGAGAGCACAAAGCACUGCCUGGCAGGGGGGAUGUCGGGGCAGGCAGUUCCCAUCGGAGUCAGAUGGGGAGCACGGACAACAACAGCUCACUGUAAGCAUU